GGGUUCAUUGGUUCUGGGUUCCUCCACCACUGGGAGUGCAUUUACUGGGGUGCUAAGGCCCCUCUGUUGCAUUAUCUGCCCUAACCAGUGAGCAGUAGUCUGUAGCUGGAGAGCCAUGGUUUGAAUGUCCUGGUUAGACAGAGUCACGGUGGGAGUAUUCCCUGCCAAGCUUGGCGAGGGAUUAAGAGGAAUAGGCGUUUGGUUAUUCAACGUUGUAGGGCUAGAAAAGGAGAACUGCUGCCCAUCUUGGGCAGAGCUCAGGUCAUUUGGAAUGUUAAGGUUACUUUCUUGGUGGUUUGCCAUCGUGGAUCUCAGUGGGUUUUGAAAGUGAAAACUUCGGUGAUGAAAAGAUCUCCUUCGUUUCCCACAGAUGGCGCCAAUUGAUGAUCUGAGAUCCAAUAGAGUAGGGUUUUACAAGGGUUUUGAUAUUGAAAAAUAAAACUUAAACUUUCUGGGGAGGGGAUUCCCCUUUUAUCCAUUUCGCUAUGCUUGCUGGUGACGUGUAAAGGCCUCUCCAUGAUUGGGACACGCGUCUCUGACAUACAGAUUCGGGCGUACGAGGGUAUCAGCCGCCUGCUCCAUGCGUAACGGCCUCUGAUUCUCCUCGUGCGUACGCUCGAGCGGAUCUGCUAGGCUGUCUUAGUAUGGCUUUGGAUACUGGGCUGGGCCGAGAGUCGGGCCGGACGCUGAGCCUGAGAGGAGAGGGCCUGCUGGUCGCGGACUGGGCCGAUCUGAGUGAAGAAGCUUGGUUGAGCCCGGCCUUGAAGGUUGAAUGAGCCAGGCUUGUUGUGCAUAUCUGGUGCGUGGGCCUCUACGUUAUGGGCCUUUGGCUGUGGUCAAGCCCCUGAUCUGGGGUGAAGAAAUCCAGCGGUCAUCA
RNAcentral lists this long non-coding RNA (877 nucleotides) under Manihot esculenta (cassava). RNAcentral's name for it is "long non-coding RNA (MESC_LNC012132)". The record is from RNAcentral. Lineage: Eukaryota; Viridiplantae; Streptophyta; Magnoliopsida; Malpighiales; Euphorbiaceae.